CCUACGGGGGGCAGCAGUGGGGAAUAUUGCACAAUGGGGGAAACCCUGAUGCAGCGACGCCGCGUGAGUGAAGAAGUAAUUCGUUAUGUAAAGCUCUAUCAGCAGGGAAGAAAAUGACGGUACCUGAGUAAGAAGCCCCGGCUAACUACGUGCCAGCAGCCGCGGUAAUACGUAGGGGGCAAGCGUUAUCCGGAUUUACUGGGUGUAAAGGGAGCGUAGGCGGCAUUGCAAGUCUGGAGUGAAAGGCGGGGGCUUAACCUCCGGACGGCUGUGGAAACUGUACGACUGGAGUGCAGGAGAGGUAAGUGGAAUGCCUAGUGUAGCGGUGAAAUGCGUAGAUAUUAGGAAGAACACCGAUGGCGAAGGCAGCUUACUGGAGUGUAACUGACGUUGAGGCACGAAAGCGUGGGGAGCAAACAGGAUUAGAUACCCCUGUAGUC
RNAcentral lists this ribosomal RNA (440 nucleotides) under uncultured bacterium. RNAcentral describes it as "partial 16S ribosomal RNA". It matches the Rfam family "Bacterial small subunit ribosomal RNA", at positions 338 to 795 of the family's 1533-position model. The record is from RNAcentral.